RNAcentral lists this ribosomal RNA (497 nucleotides) under uncultured bacterium. RNAcentral describes it as "partial 16S ribosomal RNA". It matches the Rfam family "Bacterial small subunit ribosomal RNA", at positions 28 to 507 of the family's 1533-position model. The record is from RNAcentral.
GAUGAACGCUGGCGGCGUGCCUAAUACAUGCAAGUCGAACGAACAGACGAUGAGCUUGCUCCUCUGACGUUAGCGGCGGACGUGUGAGUAACACGUGUAUAACCUACCUAUAAGACUGGGAUAACUUCGGGACACCGGAGCUAAUCCCGGAUAAUAUAUUGAACCGCAUGGUUCAAUAGUGAAAUACGGUUUUGCUGUCACUUAUAGCUGGAUCCGCGCCUCAUUAGCUAGUUGGUAAGGUAACGGCUUACCAAGGCGACGAUGCGUAGCCGACCUGAGAGGGUGAUCGGCCACACUGGAACUGAGACACGGUCCAGACUCCUACGGGAGGCAGCAGUAGGGAACCUUCCGCAAUGGGCGAAAGCCUGACGGAGCGACGCCGCGUGAGUGAUGAAGGUCUUCGGAUCGUAAAACUCUGUUAUUAGGGAAGAACAAAUGUGUAAGUAACUAUGCACGUCUUGACGGUACCGAAUCAGAAAGCCACGGCUAACUACGUG